UCCGAUUUAGCUCAGUAUGGUAGAGCGCCCAUACCAAUAAAGCAUUAGUGGGAGGUCAGAGGUUCAAAUCCUUUAAUCGGAA
RNAcentral lists this transfer RNA (82 nucleotides) under virus sp. ctML55. Its description in RNAcentral is "tRNA-OTHER". It matches the Rfam family "tRNA". From Rfam's summary of the family: Transfer RNA (tRNA) molecules are approximately 80 nucleotides in length. Their secondary structure includes four short double-helical elements and three loops (D, anti-codon, and T loops). Further hydrogen bonds mediate the characteristic L-shaped molecular structure. tRNAs have two regions of fundamental functional importance: the anti-codon, which is responsible for specific mRNA codon recognition, and the 3' end, to which the tRNAs corresponding amino acid is attached (by aminoacyl-tRNA synthetases). tRNAs cope with the degeneracy of the genetic code in two manners: having more than one tRNA (with a specific anti-codon) for a particular amino acid; and 'wobble' base-pairing, i.e. permitting non-standard base-pairing at the 3rd anti-codon position. The record is from RNAcentral. Lineage: Duplodnaviria; Heunggongvirae; Uroviricota; Caudoviricetes; Metacrassvirales; Tripviridae.